This 220-nucleotide ribosomal RNA is filed under the name uncultured bacterium. RNAcentral describes it as "partial 16S ribosomal RNA". It matches the Rfam family "Bacterial small subunit ribosomal RNA", at positions 1281 to 1500 of the family's 1533-position model. The record is from RNAcentral.
ACCGUCCCACGUUCGGAUUGCAGGCUGCAACCCGCCUGCAUGAAGUUGGAAUCGCUAGUAAUCGCGGAUCAGCAUGCCGCGGUGAAUACGUUCCCGGGCCUUGUACACACCGCCCGUCACACCAUGAGAGUCGGGAACACCCGAAGUCCGUAGCCUGACCGCAAGGGGGGCGCGGCCGAAGGUGGGUUCGAUAAUUGGGGUGAAGUCGUAACAAGGUAUC